GGGGGGUUAACCAUGCAGGUCGACGAUGACCACUUCGGUGGGGAUUAGUGGCGAACGGGUGAGUAACCUGCCCUUGACUCUGGGAUAAGCCUGGGAAACUGGGUCUAAUACCGGAUAUGACUCCUCAUCGCAUGGUGGGGGGUGGAAAGCUUUUGCGGUUUUGGAUGGACUCGCGGCCUAUCAGCUUGUUGGUGAGGUAAUGGCUCACCAAGGCGACGACGGGUAGCCGGCCUGAGAGGGUGACCGGCCACACUGGGACUGAGACACGGCCCAGACUCCUACGGGAGGCAGCAGUGGGGAAUAUUGCACAAUGGGCGAAAGCCUGAUGCAGCGACGCCGCGUGAGGAGGGACGGCCUUCGGGUUGUAAACCUCUUUCAGUAGGGAAGAAGCGAAAGUGACGGUACCUGCAGAAGAAGCGCCGGCUAACUACGUGCCAGCAGCCGCGGU
This 448-nucleotide ribosomal RNA is filed under the name uncultured Arthrobacter sp. Its description in RNAcentral is "bacterial SSU rRNA". It matches the Rfam family "Bacterial small subunit ribosomal RNA", at positions 41 to 521 of the family's 1533-position model. Lineage: Bacteria; Bacillati; Actinomycetota; Actinomycetes; Micrococcales; Micrococcaceae. The record is from RNAcentral.